CCUACGGGAGGCAGCAGUGAGGAAUAUUGGUCAAUGGUCGGGAGACUGAACCAGCCAAGCCGCGUGAGGGAGGAAGGUACAGAGUAUCGUAAACCUCUUUUGUCAGGGAACAAAGGCGGGGACGUGUCCCCGGAUGAGUGUACCUGAAGAAAAAGCAUCGGCUAACUCCGUGCCAGCAGCCGCGGUAAUACGGAGGAGGCGAGCGUUAUCCGGAUUUAUUGGGUUAAAAGGGUGCGCAGGCGUUCUGUUAAGUGAGAGGUAAAAGCCAGGGGCCCAACCCCGCCCCGCCGUUGAAACUGGCGGACUUGAGUUGGAGAGAGGUAUGCGGAAUGCGCGGUGUAGCGGUGAAAUGCGUAGAUAUCGCGCAGAACUCCGAUUGCGAAGGCAGCAUGCCGGCUCCACACUGACGCUGAGGCACGAAAGCGUGGGUAUCGAACAGGAUUAGAUACCCCUGUAGUC
RNAcentral lists this ribosomal RNA (459 nucleotides) under uncultured bacterium. Its description in RNAcentral is "partial 16S ribosomal RNA". It matches the Rfam family "Bacterial small subunit ribosomal RNA", at positions 338 to 795 of the family's 1533-position model. The record is from RNAcentral.